GAUGAACGCUAGCGGCAGGCUUAAUACAUGCAAGUCGAGGGGCAUCAAGGUACACGAAAGUGUAUUGUUGGCGACCGGCGGACGGGUGAGUAAUAGGUAGGUAACCUACCUCAUACUGAGGCAUAGCUGGGAGAAAUUCCAGGUAAUUCCUCAUGAGGUUAUAUGACACAUGUGAUAUAAUCAAAGGUAUCGCAAGGUACUGGUAUGAGAUGGGCUUACUGACCAUUAGCUAGUUGGUGAGAUAAGAGCUCACCAAGGCGAAGAUGGUUAGGGGUUUUGAGAGAGAGAUCCCCCACAUUGGAACUGAGAUACGGUCCAGACUCCUACGGGAGGCAGCAGUAGGGAAUAUUGGGCAAUGGGCGGAAGCCUGACCCAGCCAUGCCGCGUGAAGGAAGACGGCCUUAUGGGUUGUAAACUUCUUAGUACUGGGACGACGUAAGUAGGUACCCUUAGUAGAAGGUAACGUCUAAUACGUAGCUAGCACGCGUAAAAGCUACGCUAAC
Molecule: ribosomal RNA, 503 nt
Filed under: uncultured bacterium
Lineage: Bacteria
Description: bacterial SSU rRNA
Rfam family: Bacterial small subunit ribosomal RNA
Source: RNAcentral